This is a non-coding RNA of Arachis ipaensis, 413 nucleotides long. Lineage: Eukaryota; Viridiplantae; Streptophyta; Magnoliopsida; Fabales; Fabaceae. The record is from RefSeq and is a predicted model, not a curated record.
AGAGCUUUCCAAUCCAUAUUUGGGAAAGAGAAGGCAGGGAGAGUGCGAUGUCACGGAAGAGUCACCACACCAACUUUGUUGAAGAAAAAUGAGGAAAUUGCCACCCUUAAGCAGCAACAUGCAACUGAGAAAGCAACAUUAGAGAAUAAGGUUGAUGUGAUGCAAAAAGAAGUAGAUGAACUAAAACCGCUUAUUAAGAUGAUGCUGCAACAAAAAAGCUCAGGAGUGGACCUUGACAUGUUAGCUGCUCAAUUAGGAAGCACUUUAGGGAAUCCGAACAAUGAUGCACAUGAAGAGGAAAACUAUGUUGAAGGGGAAAUCGAACUUGAUUAAGGUCAACUUUUUAAAAGCAAAUGUUACAGAGUAAAAGUCAUGAACUUGUGGACAUGAUGACUAUUUUCUACUUAGCUAUU